Molecule: long non-coding RNA, 858 nt
Organism: Pteropus alecto (black flying fox)
Lineage: Eukaryota; Metazoa; Chordata; Mammalia; Chiroptera; Pteropodidae
Exons: 3
Source: RefSeq, a predicted model, not a curated record
AAAGCAGGAGCCAGCAUGAGGCCCUGUGAGCUGGGAGUCCCCGAGCAAGGCUAGCUGACUUCACAAAGCCUCCCCUCCCACAGGUGUGUGAGUCGCUUUUGGCAGUGAUUUCCCUAGAAGGAAGGGAUGAGGCCUGCCCAGGUGCAAAAGCAGUAGACUCUGGAAUGUUCCAUUCCAUUUGUUUAACGCCAUUUGGAGGGAAGGCUUCCUAAUGUAUCUUGCAAAGGAAUGUGCUACACGAACUACUGACAUGGGGCCACGUAACUCUGGUGGCGACAUCUCAGACCUCCACCCUCUGCAUGCCGGCAGCACUGCGCCCCAGACAUGACCACCAGAAAUGUCUCCGGAUAUCGUCAAACAUUCCUGAGCAACCCCGCCCCGCCACGACUGAGAACCACUCCUCUAACAAAGAAAAAAUGAAAGGAUGAUAAUGUAUCACCAAGUAACAUAUAGUUCAAAAUAUCAAUGCUCAAGCAUGAUUGCACUGUAGGAUAGAAUGAAGCAGCCAGCUGCCUGAACCUAUUGACAAUGAAGGCGUCCAGAUUUAAGAGGAGCAACAAGAUCAGAAGCUGUUUAGACAAGAACAGAAAAAUCAAAGGGCAGAGGAUGGACAUUAAGAUAAAAACUAGUGUUAGACUAAUAACAGAGAACAUUUACCUGUAUAUAAGAGAAAUAAAAUAACCAUAAUUAAAAUAGAGAUUGUAUACUAAGACAAGCUACAGAUCCAAAGUCCUAAAUGAGCUGGGACUUAUUUAUAGGUAUGGCUUCAGGGUUGUUCCCCACUUUGUGACCUGGAGUAUUGCUCUAGUGAUAAGAGUACUUAAAGUACUUUAGAAGAACUUGGAGCUGUAUCCGUGA